RNAcentral lists this ribosomal RNA (253 nucleotides) under uncultured bacterium. RNAcentral describes it as "partial 16S ribosomal RNA". It matches the Rfam family "Bacterial small subunit ribosomal RNA", at positions 524 to 776 of the family's 1533-position model. The record is from RNAcentral.
UACGUAGGGUGCGAGCGUUGUCCGGAAUUAUUGGGCGUAAAGAGCUUGUAGGCGGUUUGUCGCGUCCGCCGUGAAAACCCGAGGCUCAACCUCGGGCCUGCAGUGGGUACGGGCAGACUAGAGUGCGGUAGGGGAGAUUGGAAUUCCUGGUGUAGCGGUGGAAUGCGCAGAUAUCAGGAGGAACACCGAUGGCGAAGGCAGAUCUCUGGGCCGUAACUGACGCUGAGGAGCGAAAGCGUGGGGAGCGAACAGG